AGCGAACGCUGGCGGCGUGCCUAACACAUGCAAGUCGAACGUGAAAGGGAGCAAUCCCAAGUAAAGUGGCGUACGGGUGAGUAACACGUAGGUAAUCUACCCCAGAAUCUGGAAUAACCGGCCGAAAGGCUGGCUAAUACUGGAUAGAGCGACGGAAUCCGUACUUGGGUUUUUCGGGAAAGGGAGCCUGUAAAAAGGCCUUCGUUCUGGGAUGAGCCUGCGUCCCAUCAGCUAGUUGGUGAGGUAAAAGCUUACCAAGGCAAUGACGGGUAGCUGGUCGGAGAGGACGAGCAGCAACACUGGAACUGAAACACGGGCCAGACUCCUACGGGAGGCAGCAGUGGGGAAUAUUGAGAAAUAGACGAAAGUCUGACGCAGCAACGCCGCGGGAGUGAAGAAGGCCGUCGGGUUGUAAAGCUCUGUCGAGUGGGACGAAAAUGCUUGGAGUUCACAGCUCCAGGAACUGACGGUACCACUAAAGGAAGCACCGGCUAACUACGUG
This 502-nucleotide ribosomal RNA is filed under the name uncultured bacterium. RNAcentral's name for it is "partial 16S ribosomal RNA". It matches the Rfam family "Bacterial small subunit ribosomal RNA", at positions 29 to 507 of the family's 1533-position model. The record is from RNAcentral.